RNAcentral lists this ribosomal RNA (465 nucleotides) under uncultured bacterium. RNAcentral describes it as "partial 16S ribosomal RNA". It matches the Rfam family "Bacterial small subunit ribosomal RNA", at positions 338 to 795 of the family's 1533-position model. The record is from RNAcentral.
CCUACGGGAGGCAGCAGUAGGGAAUCUUCCACAAUGGGCGAAAGCCUGAUGGAGCAACGCCGCGUGGGUGAAGAAGGUCUUCGGAUCGUAAAACCCUGUUGUUAGAGACGAAAGUGCGUUAGAGUAACUGUUCACGUUUCGACGGUAUCUAACCAAAAAGCCCCGGCUAACUACGUGCCAGCAGCCGCGGUAAUACGUAGGUUGCAAGCGUUAUCCGGAUUUAUUGGGCGUAAAGGGAACGCAGGCGGUCUAUUAAGUCUGAUGUGAAAGCCUUGGGCUUAACCGGAGUAGUGCAUUGGAAACGGGGAGACUAGAGUGCAGAAGAGGAGAGUAGAACUCCAUGUGUAGCGGUGAAAUGCGUAGAGAUAUGGAAGAACACCAGUGGCGAAAGCGGCUCUCUGGUCUGUAACUGACGCUGAGGUGCGAAAGCGUGGGUAGCAAACAGGAUUAGAUACCCCAGUAGUC